Molecule: long non-coding RNA, 541 nt
Filed under: Equus caballus (horse)
Lineage: Eukaryota; Metazoa; Chordata; Mammalia; Perissodactyla; Equidae
Description: lncRNA (ENSECAG00000058651.1)
Source: RNAcentral
CAAUCACACGGCCUCCUUCUAGGGAGGAAUCAGAGGGAGAUCUCAUUACACAGACAGGAGAGAAGAGGGCAGUGUGACCGCAGAGGCAGAGAUCGAAGUGAUGCAGCCAUGAGGCAAGGAAUGUGACAGCCGCCAGAAGCUGGAAAAGGCAGGAACAGAGUCUCUCCCAGAUCUUCCAGAGGGGGUGUGUCCUUGCCGACAUCUUGACUUUGGCCUGGUGAAACUGGUUUUGGACUUCUGGCCUCCACAACUCAGCGGCACAGCGCUCAGAGUGGAGCAGGCCCCCGCUGAAUUGAUGUUGUCCCUAUGACAGUGUGCCGCCCACUGUGACAGGCAGUGCCAAUGCAGAGACGAGAAGACUCAGACCCUGCUGGAGAUGUGGAGGGGAAGACAGACAAGAAAACCAGAAUGACAGCAGGCCUGGGGGGUCCACGAGGAGCCAGCCCCCAGCACAGAGGCACCUGGAUGCUGAGACACGGGGACAAUCUGCUUCGUCGUGUGUGUUCUCAUUGUCUAACCGGAGAUUGUCUCUUGCUUUCCA